GACGAACGCUGGCGGCGUGCUUAACACAUGCAAGUCGAGCGGUAAGGCCCUUUCGGGGGUACGACGAGCGGCGAACGGGUGAGUAACACGUGGGUGACCUGCCCUCAGCUCUGGGAUAAGCCUGGGAAACCGGGUCUAAUACCGGAUAUGACUCCAUGACGCAUGUUGUGGGGUGGAAAGCCUUGUGCGGCUGAGGAUGGGCCCGCGGCCUAUCAGCUUGUUGGUGGGGUGAUGGCCUACCAAGGCGACGACGGGUAGCCGGCCUGAGAGGGCGACCGGCCACACUGGGACCGAGACACGGCCCAGACUCCUACGGGAGGCAGCAGUGGGGAAUCUUGCGCAAUGGGCGAAAGCCUGACGCAGCGACGCCGCGUGA
This 376-nucleotide ribosomal RNA is filed under the name uncultured bacterium. RNAcentral's name for it is "bacterial SSU rRNA". It matches the Rfam family "Bacterial small subunit ribosomal RNA", at positions 28 to 404 of the family's 1533-position model. The record is from RNAcentral.